This 2925-nucleotide ribosomal RNA is filed under the name Escherichia coli. RNAcentral's name for it is "23S ribosomal RNA". It matches the Rfam family "Bacterial large subunit ribosomal RNA". Lineage: Bacteria; Pseudomonadati; Pseudomonadota; Gammaproteobacteria; Enterobacterales; Enterobacteriaceae. The record is from RNAcentral.
GGGUUGUGAGGUUAAGCGACUAAGCGUACACGGUGGAUGCCCUGGCAGUCAGAGGCGAUGAAGGACGUGCUAAUCUGCGAUAAGCGUCGGUGAGGUGAUAUGAACCGUUAUAACCGGCGAUUUCCGAAUGGGGAAACCCAGUGUGUUUCGACACACUAUCAUUAACUGAAUCCAUAGGUUAAUGAGGCGAACCGGGGGAACUGAAACAUCUAAGUACCCCGAGGAAAAGAAAUCAACCGAGAUUCCCCCAGUAGCGGCGAGCGAACGGGGAGGAGCCCAGAGCCUGAAUCAGUGUGUGUGUUAGUGGAAGCGUCUGGAAAGGCGUGCGAUACAGGGUGACAGCCCCGUACACAAAAAUGCACAUAUUGUGAGCUCGAUGAGUAGGGCGGGACACGUGGUAUCCUGUCUGAAUAUGGGGGGACCAUCCUCCAAGGCUAAAUACUCCUGACUGACCGAUAGUGAACCAGUACCGUGAGGGAAAGGCGAAAAGAACCCCGGCGAGGGGAGUGAAAAAGAACCUGAAACCGUGUACGUACAAGCAGUGGGAGCCUCUUAAUGGGGUGACUGCGUACCUUUUGUAUAAUGGGUCAGCGACUUAUAUUCUGUAGCAAGGUUAACCGAAUAGGGGAGCCGAAGGGAAACCGAGUCUUAACUGGGCGUUAAGUUGCAGGGUAUAGACCCGAAACCCGGUGAUCUAGCCAUGGGCAGGUUGAAGGUUGGGUAACACUAACUGGAGGACCGAACCGACUAAUGUUGAAAAAUUAGCGGAUGACUUGUGGCUGGGGGUGAAAGGCCAAUCAAACCGGGAGAUAGCUGGUUCUCCCCGAAAGCUAUUUAGGUAGCGCCUCGUGAAUUCAUCUCCGGGGGUAGAGCACUGUUUCGGCAAGGGGGUCAUCCCGACUUACCAACCCGAUGCAAACUGCGAAUACCGGAGAAUGUUAUCACGGGAGACACACGGCGGGUGCUAACGUCCGUCGUGAAGAGGGAAACAACCCAGACCGCCAGCUAAGGUCCCAAAGUCAUGGUUAAGUGGGAAACGAUGUGGGAAGGCCCAGACAGCCAGGAUGUUGGCUUAGAAGCAGCCAUCAUUUAAAGAAAGCGUAAUAGCUCACUGGUCGAGUCGGCCUGCGCGGAAGAUGUAACGGGGCUAAACCAUGCACCGAAGCUGCGGCAGCGACACUAUGUGUUGUUGGGUAGGGGAGCGUUCUGUAAGCCUGUGAAGGUGGCCUGUGAGGGUUGCUGGAGGUAUCAGAAGUGCGAAUGCUGACAUAAGUAACGAUAAAGCGGGUGAAAAGCCCGCUCGCCGGAAGACCAAGGGUUCCUGUCCAACGUUAAUCGGGGCAGGGUGAGUCGACCCCUAAGGCGAGGCCGAAAGGCGUAGUCGAUGGGAAACAGGUUAAUAUUCCUGUACUUGGUGUUACUGCGAAGGGGGGACGGAGAAGGCUAUGUUGGCCGGGCGACGGUUGUCCCGGUUUAAGCGUGUAGGCUGGUUUUCCAGGCAAAUCCGGAAAACCAAGGCUGAGGCGUGAUGACGAGGCACUACGGUGCUGAAGCGACAAAUGCCCUGCUUCCAGGAAAAGCCUCUAAGCAUCAGGUAACAUCAAAUCGUACCCCAAACCGACACAGGUGGUCAGGUAGAGAAUACCAAGGCGCUUGAGAGAACUCGGGUGAAGGAACUAGGCAAAAUGGUGCCGUAACUUCGGGAGAAGGCACGCUGAUAUGUAGGUGAAGCGACUUGCUCGUGGAGCUGAAAUCAGUCGAAGAUACCAGCUGGCUGCAACUGUUUAUUAAAAACACAGCACUGUGCAAACACGAAAGUGGACGUAUACGGUGUGACGCCUGCCCGGUGCCGGAAGGUUAAUUGAUGGGGUUAGCGGCAACGCGAAGCUCUUGAUCGAAGCCCCGGUAAACGGCGGCCGUAACUAUAACGGUCCUAAGGUAGCGAAAUUCCUUGUCGGGUAAGUUCCGACCUGCACGAAUGGCGUAAUGAUGGCCAGGCUGUCUCCACCCGAGACUCAGUGAAAUUGAACUCGCUGUGAAGAUGCAGUGUACCCGCGGCAAGACGGAAAGACCCCGUGAACCUUUACUAUAGCUUGACACUGAACAUUGAGCCUUGAUGUGUAGGAUAGGUGGGAGGCUUUGAAGUGUGGACGCCAGUCUGCAUGGAGCCGACCUUGAAAUACCACCCUUUAAUGUUUGAUGUUCUAACGUGGGCCCGUAAUCCGGGUUGCGGACAGUGUCUGGUGGGUAGUUUGACUGGGGCGGUCUCCUCCUAAAGAGUAACGGAGGAGCACGAAGGUUGGCUAAUCCUGGUCGGACAUCAGGAGGUUAGUGCAAUGGCAUAAGCCAGCUUGACUGCGAGCGUGACGGCGCGAGCAGGUGCGAAAGCAGGUCAUAGUGAUCCGGUGGUUCUGAAUGGAAGGGCCAUCGCUCAACGGAUAAAAGGUACUCCGGGGAUAACAGGCUGAUACCGCCCAAGAGUUCAUAUCGACGGCGGUGUUUGGCACCUCGAUGUCGGCUCAUCACAUCCUGGGGCUGAAGUAGGUCCCAAGGGUAUGGCUGUUCGCCAUUUAAAGUGGUACGCGAGCUGGGUUUAGAACGUCGUGAGACAGUUCGGUCCCUAUCUGCCGUGGGCGCUGGAGAACUGAGGGGGGCUGCUCCUAGUACGAGAGGACCGGAGUGGACGCAUCACUGGUGUUCGGGUUGUCAUGCCAAUGGCACUGCCCGGUAGCUAAAUGCGGAAGAGAUAAGUGCUGAAAGCAUCUAAGCACGAAACUUGCCCCGAGAUGAGUUCUCCCUGACUCCUUGAGAGUCCUGAAGGAACGUUGAAGACGACGACGUUGAUAGGCCGGGUGUGUAAGCGCAGCGAUGCGUUGAGCUAACCGGUACUAAUGAACCGUGAGGCUUAACCUUACAACGCCGAAG